This 1004-nucleotide long non-coding RNA is filed under the name Olea europaea subsp. europaea. Lineage: Eukaryota; Viridiplantae; Streptophyta; Magnoliopsida; Lamiales; Oleaceae. The record is from RNAcentral.
CACUAAUUUCACAAAUUUUCAGUAAAAGAUUAGGAUUUCAUGAGAGAUCUAAGAAAGGAUCGGAAGACGAUGAAGAAAGAAAACUAGAAAAUACUUAGAGAGAAAAACCAACAUACUCUCAAAACCAAAAGCGAAAGAAUGAGCCAAACCGUCACCUUCCAGGAGGAUUUAGAACCAAUUGAUCAAUCUUAGCCAUUAAUCCAAAUCAAUGGUCCAAAUUCCUUUUCAGCUAGCGCAACUCAAGUGAAGGUUAAUCCACUAGUUAGGGGUAGCCAUGUGGCUUUCAACAUCCAACCGGAUUAAUGUUUUAUAGAAAAAUCAUUUUAUCCUUCCAUAAGUUUUGUUUUUGAGAAGCAUGUUUUUUACAAAUCCUACUUCCUUUAAAAGAGAGAAUAGCCGAAUACUAUUCAUUCUGGUGGCCUCCUUUUCACAUUGAAUUUGGUUCCAUUAUUGUUCAACAACUAGCUUCUCACUGUUCAUUAAAUUAUCUUCCACUAUUCAUUAAUAAAUAUCUGAAGUAAUUAUUUCUUGCCCAUUUUUCUUUGCCCUAUUUAUUCUCUCAAGUCCUUCAUCCUCCUCUUUUCCUCUCCUGUUCUUGAUCAUGUCUUUGUUGAUUGAUUUCCCAAUUCAGAGCUUGUUGGUUGUGGACGUCUCCACUUCUUCGAAGAGGCUCUCCGUUUCUCCUCCUCCACUCAAAGAAACUAUUGACAAUCAAUCUGCCUCCACCAGAAGAAACAUUUUCUCCCUCCGUGUGAAGGCUGUGUGAUCUUUGGAUUUUCAAGUAGCAAUUGAAGAUCCAACCAUUCACUAGAUUCUAUGGGAAUAGUUUCAGCUCUUGGGCUUUUAUUUUCCUUUUUCUGCUAUUUUUUAAUUAUUUUUUAAUCUUUCUUUUCCUACCUCCGUCCCCUUCUUUUAAUUUUUCUUGUUCUUUUUUUUUUGGUAUGUUUACUUGCAAGAUUUUCUGCUUUUAUUUAUUCAAGAUUUAUUGUAGUGCUUCAUUUGGG